ACGCUAGCUACAGGCUUAACACAUGCAAGUCGAGGGGCAUCAGGAAGAAAGCUUGCUUUCUUUGCUGGCGACCGGCGCACGGGUGAGUAACACGUAUCCAACCUGCCCUUUGCUCGGGGAUAGCCUUUCGAAAGAAAGAUUAAUACCCGAUGGCAUAAUGAUUCCGCAUGGUUUCAUUAUUAAAGGAUUCCGGUAAAGGAUGGGGAUGCGUUCCAUUAGGUUGUUGGUGAGGUAACGGCUCACCAAGCCUUCGAUGGAUAGGGGUUCUGAGAGGAAGGUCCCCCACAUUGGAACUGAGACACGGUCCAAACUCCUACGGGAGGCAGCAGUGAGGAAUAUUGGUCAAUGGGCGCUAGCCUGAACCAGCCAAGUAGCGUGAAGGAUGAAGGCUCUAUGGGUCGUAAACUUCUUUUAUAUAAGAAUAAAGUGCAGUAUGUAUACUGUUUUGUAUGUAUUAUAUGAAUAAGGAUCGGCUAACUCCGUGCCAGCAGCCGCGGUAAUACGGAGGAUCCGAGCGUUAUCCGGAUUUAUUGGGUUUAAAGGGAGCGUAGGUGGACUGGUAAGUCAGUUGUGAAAGUUUGCGGCUCAACCGUAAAAUUGCAGUUGAUACUGUCAGUCUUGAGUACAGUAGAGGUGGGCGGAAUUCGUGGUGUAGCGGUGAAAUGCUUAGAUAUCACGAAGAACUCCGAUUGCGAAGGCAGCUCACUGGACUGCAACUGACACUGAUGCUCGAAAGUGUGGGUAUCAAACAGGAUUAGAUACCCUGGUAGUCCACACAGUAAACGAUGAAUACUCGCUGUUUGCGAUAUACAGUAAGCGGCCAAGCGAAAGCAUUAAGUAUUCCACCUGGGGAGUACGCCGGCAACGGUGAAACUCAAAGGAAUUGACGGGGGCCCGCACAAGCGGAGGAACAUGUGGUUUAAUUCGAUGAUACGCGAGGAACCUUACCCGGGCUUAAAUUGCAGUGGAAUGAUGUGGAAACAUGUCAGUGAGCAAUCACCGCUGUGAAGGUGCUGCAUGGUUGUCGUCAGCUCGUGCCGUGAGGUGUCGGCUUAAGUGCCAUAACGAGCGCAACCCUUAUCUUUAGUUACUAACAGGUUAUGCUGAGGACUCUAGAGAGACUGCCGUCGUAAGAUGUGAGGAAGGUGGGGAUGACGUCAAAUCAGCACGGCCCUUACGUCCGGGGCUACACACGUGUUACAAUGGGGGGUACAGAAGGCAGCUAGCGGGUGACCGUAUGCUAAUCCCAAAAGCCUCUCUCAGUUCGGAUCGAAGUCUGCAACCCGACUUCGUGAAGCUGGAUUCGCUAGUAAUCGCGCAUCAGCCACGGCGCGGUGAAUACGUUCCCGGGCCUUGUACACACCGCCCGUCAAGCCAUGGGAGCCGGGGGUACCUGAAGUACGUAACCGCAAGGAUCGUCCUAGGGUAAAACUGGUGACUGG
Molecule: ribosomal RNA, 1442 nt
Filed under: uncultured organism
Description: SSU rRNA
Rfam family: Bacterial small subunit ribosomal RNA
Source: RNAcentral